UGUGAAACCCUAGCAACCAAGAGUGCUUCCUAUAGUGUCCUGGAGAAGGCAGUAGUAUUGCAGCUUAGGAUAAAGGAAAGUGGUGGUGACGUUGGGGUAGGGAGAGAUGAGAUCGGGCUUUUAGCUGAAGAACUCCUUCAACUCUCAGUCAAAGGAUCGAUGGUGGUGCCGAGUGAGAAGUCUAAUCUGAUCUGCACAAUUUAGACUGAAAAAUUGUAUAAUCAAUAUAGUUUGAAAGCACAAAUGAGGAGUAUAUGGAAUACAAGAAAGAAAUUUGAGUUUCAGACGGUAGGGCAGAAUUUGUUCUUAACUGAAUUUGAUCUUGAAGAGGAUCUGGAGACAAUAAUGGAGGGGAGACCAUGGCUUUUCAUUAAGAGUCUUAUUUUAUUUAAUAGGUUAUCUUAACCAGUAGAAAGAACUAAGAUUUGGCUUAUUUCUUCUCUUUUUUGGUUGAAAAUAGGGGCGUGUUUACCAGAGUACGACAAAAAAGAUCUGUUGCAUGCAAUUGGAGUCAAAUUUGGAGGUUUAAUAAGAUCCGAGAUCAAUGGUGAGGUGUGUCGUCUUAGGAUCAAUUUAAAUGUACAGAAGUCGCUUCGACGAGGUAUUUUUGUCUCAAUUAAUAAUAUGACUAAGUCAUGGAUCCCUUUUAAGUAUGAAAGUUUACCAAUGUUUUGCUUUGGUUGUGGACGAAUGGGGCAUAGCUUUAAAAAAUGCUCAGUGCUAACUCCAACAGAAAUAAGUAAAAUAGGUGAUGAUUCACCUUACACACUAGCUUCGAAAGCAGAAUCUAAUUUAAUUGGGAAGGAAUGUGUGAAAUUUAGAGCGAUUUUAAAGAGAGAAGGGGCUCAAUGCUCGUAUAUAGGAGAGGAAGAAUCGGUUCUAAGAAGGGCAGUACGCAUAAAGAAGGAAUAAAUAUGAAUGGGAUGCAAAUAACGAAGCUCAAUGGAAAUGGUAAAAAGGACGAUAUGGAAUAAGAGGACACAUCAAUAGCUAAGGAUGAUGACCAGCUGGUGGACAAUAAAUAUCAGUCGGGUAAUGAAUCAUGCUCAUCUAAAAAGAAAGGAUGGAGAAGAAUCGGUCCAAUGGCUACUUUGAUAUAAAGCAGGGAGGUUAAUAAUAAGAGGAAAAGGAAAUUUAUGGAGGAAGAAUGUGUAGUCUGGUGUUUGGAUGGUGGACAAGCAGAGGGAGUUAAAAGAGCGAGAUGGGAGAGUUUAGAGGAAGGUGGGGAAGUCUGGCCUCAAGUAAUGAAUGAGAUCACGGAGGAGAAUAAUCUUUCUGAAUGCACAAAAUCGACGGCUGCCAACUGGCAAGCCGACCGGAAGCCAUGAAACACAUUAGUUGGAAUGUCCGUGAGAUUGGGGAAUCCACGGAUAAUAAGAAGGUUGCGAUAUUUUCUAAAGUAGCAUAAUCCCCAUAUAGUCUUCUUAAUGGAGACAAAAAUUAACAAGCAACGCUUGGAGAUGGUCAGGAGAGGUUAGGGUUUUUUUAAUGGUAUCAUGUUGAAGCGGAAGGUUCGAGAGGUGGAUUAAGUCUAGCGUGGAAAGGUGAUAUUGCAGUUACUUUGAGGAGUUUUUCUAAACAUCAUAUUGAUGUCAUGGUUAAGAAGGACGAUGACAAAGAAGAAUGGAGAUUGACAGGUUUCUAUGGCUCACCUUAUGUUCAAGAUAAGAGUGUUUCUUAGGACUUACUAAGGAAACUAGGACAAGAUAAAAAUCAUCCAUGGUUAGUAUGUGGAGAUUUCAACGAAAUAUUGUACUCGUUUGAAAAAAGAAGAGGGGUACCAAGGGAGGAGCGAAGAAUGAAGGUUUUUCGGGAAACUUUAGAAGUGUGCCAACUAGUAGAUUUGGGAUUUAAGGGAACUUGGUAUACAUGGGAAAGAAGGAAUUUGCCAAAAACUAAUAUAAGAGAAAGACUUGAUAGAGAAGUUGUAAAUGAUAAAUAAAUGCAUAUCUUUCCAACAGGUAAUAUUUGACAUUUACCUCAUUCAAUAUCGAAUCAUUAUCCACUCCUUUUAAAUACAAAAGGGGAAAUAAGUAUAUGGGAAUUCCAAGAUUUAAAUUUGAAGUAUGGUAGACUCUAGAAGAGACAAUGGAAGUAGUAGUUAAAGAUUCAUGGGAAUCAACCAGGGGUACAAUAGUGGAGAAGUUGGAACGGCUACAAAUAGACCUGAAAGAUUGGGAGUGAACAAUUAAAGAAGGGAGGGACGGAUUAAAGAAAAAUCUUACAAGGGAUCUUGAGAUGAUGUUGGCGGAGGAACAAAGUGACGAAAUGAUUGCCAAAAUUAUAGAUACAAAAAUUUCUCUUAAUUUAGGAAUUAACAAAGAUGAGAUUUAUUGGGAAUAAAGGGCAAGAGCAAACUGGCUUCAAACAGGUGAUAAGAAUUCAGCCUUUUUUCAUAGAUUUGCUUCUUAUCGUCGACGAGUGAAUAUAAUCAAUGUGUUGGAGACAGAGGAGGGAGGAGAGGCUACAGAUUCUAACAAGAUUAGUGAAGUGGCUACUCUAUUUUCUAAAAGCUAUUCAAGACAAAUGGUGUCGGAGAUUCAUCUCAUCUUUUAACAGGCAUUGAAAGUAGGGUUUCAACAGAGGUCAAUGAUGCUCUAUUAUCAACUUUUACAGAAGAGAAAGUGUAUUCGGCAUUGAAAGAUAUGGGGCCUACUAAAGCCCCAGGACCGGAUAGUUUUCCAGCACCAUUCUUUCAAAAAUACUGGCACAUAGUAGGUAAAGAUGUCACUAAUUUUUGUUUGGGAAUUUUAAAUAAAAGUCAAAAUUUUGGCUCUCUUGAUCAAACAGAUAUCGUGUUGAUCCCAAAAACUCAAAAUCCUACAAGUCUAAUCAAUUUUAAACCUAUCAGUUUGUGUUCAGUUCUUUGCAAAAUAGUGGCAAAGGCAAUAGCUAACAGAUUUCAAGGAGUAAUUGGUAGGUGUAUUAAUGAGGCACAAAGUGCUUUUAUACCGGGAAGGUUAAUAUCUAAUAAUGUGAUGGCCUAUGAGAUAUUACAUUCUAUUCAGCAAAAGCGAACAAGACUGAAGGGAUACAUGGCGGUUAAACUUGAUAUGAGCAAAGCAUAUGAUAGAGUUGAAUGGAGUUUUCUUCAGGAUAUCAUGUUGCAAAUGGGUUUAGCCAAUAAAUGGGUGGAAUUGAUUAUGAAGUGUAUUUCCACAACAUCUUUUGCGGUUAAUAUAAAUGGGAGUAGAGGAAGAACUUUUCAAUCAUCUCGAGGUCUACGUCAAGGAGAUCCACUAAGCCCUUUUCUUUUUCUUGUAUACAGUGAGGGCCUCUCAUCGUUGAUGAGAUUGGCAAUUAAAAAAGAUGUGGUAAAAGGUGCAAAGGCUAGUAGGAGAGGACCAGUAAUAUCACAUUUGCUUUUCGCAGAUGAUUGUAUAUUGUUUGGUGAGGCAUCAGAUAAGGGAGCGACAACACUAAAGGGUAUUCUGAAGGAGUACGAGAAAUGCUUAGGUCAAUGUGUAAAUUUCAAUAAAUCCACUAUUUUUUACAGUUCGAAUACUCCAAAAAGGAGGAAAGCUGAAGUCUCGACAAUAUUAGGGGUACGAAGCUCUACAAAUCUAGAGAAAUAUCUCGGUCUUCCCAAUGUGGUUAGUAGGAGGAAAAAAGAGUCAUUUCAAAACCUUAAAGAGAAAGUUCAUUCAAGAAUCCAUGGGUGGAGUACUAGAUUUUUAUCACAAGGAGGUAAGGAAGUUUUUAUAAAAUCAAUACUUCAGGCUAUCCCAACUUAUGCGAUGUCAUGUUUCCUUCUUUCAGCUUCUUUUUGUAAAGAAUUAGAAAGCAGUUUUGCUAAACUUUGGUGGCAGAAAGCAUAGGGCAAAAGAGGAAUUCAUUGGUGUCAAUGGAAAAAUUUGUGUCUUUCUAAAGAAGAGGGUGGAAUGGGAUUUCAAAGUAUGGCAAAAUUCAAUAUCGCUUUGCUUGCAAAACAAGGUUGACGAAUUCUAAACAAUCCAGAUUCUUUAGUAACACAAGUUCUCAAAGGAAAAUAUUUCCCGAAUGAUAGCUUUUUAAAGGUGCAGUUGAAGAAUAAUGUUUCAUACAUAUGGAAGAGUAUAUGGGUCGCUCGGAGUACUGUUGAAAUGGGAUUAUGUUGGAAGGUAGGUAGGGGCUCGAAUAUUUUAGUACUUAAUGAUGUGUGGGUACUAGAAUUGAAAAAUAUCAGAUUAACGUCUUUAGUUACUGAUAUGAGUGAUUUUAGAGUUGCUGAGCUGAUUGAUAUUAAUAGCAGAUCAUGGAAAAAAGAGCUGAUAGAAGUUACCUUUCCAGAGGAAGUAGUAGAGAAGAUCCUUCAGACAUCGUUGGUAAAAGAACCCCAUGAAGAUUUUCGAGCCUGAAGUGGUGAACCCUCGGGAAAGUUUACAGUGCGCAGUACCUAUAAACUAUUACAAAACAUAGAAGAAGAGCCUAGAGCUUACGCUUUACAAAACGACUACAAUAAAUUUUACAAAAAGCUAUGGAGUACAAAUAUUCCCUCAAAGAUAAAAAUUACAGUCUGGAAAAUUUCAAAAAUUUUCUUAGCUACAAGGGCCAAUAUGUAUCAACGGAGAGUUUUAAAUAUCAUAGAAUGCCCUCGAUAUGGACGAGGAUCAGAAAGUAUGGACCACCUAUUCGGAGAAUGUUCAAUUUCAGUAACAGCAUGUCAAGAAUUAUCAUAUCAGUAUGUGUUACAAUAACCGAACCUGGAGUUCGCACAGUGGCUCAUUUGGGUGUUUUUGCAGAGUUCUCCAUCUCAGAGUAAGGUUGUCUGCUGUGUAUUAUGGGCAAUUUGGGGUGACAGAAAUAACAGGAUUCACAAGAAGACCAACAAAACUGGAAACGAAAUAGCAUGUUUUGUACAAAGUUACAUCUCAGAGCUAAGUGCGAUAGAACAAAAAAAGACAGGAAAAUGCAAAGUUAUUAGUAAAUAGAAGCCUCCACCUGUAAAGGUCGUGAAGAUCAACUUCGAUGCAGCUUUUGAUGAAAGAUCUCGGCAAUUGUCAAGGGGAUUAGUAGCCAGGAACAGUAAGGGCAGGGUUCUGGUUUCGUGCUCGGAGAUCACGAGUGAGUUGCAUCGGCUUUUGCUGCUGAGGCUCUCACAUGUCGCACAGCAGUUCGACUCGGUAUUAACAUGCAAUAGACAUCAGUUAUCAUUGAGGGUGAUUCAUUAGCAAUAAUAAAGAAGUGCAAGUUGGAUAGUAUAGAUAAUUCACAGAUAGGGGCUUAUAUCUACGACAUUUAGAGGUCACUGUCAAUUUCCAAGAAUUUCAGAUUUGAGUUCAUCCCACGAACAGCAAAUGAACUAGCACAUAGUAUAGCCACUGAAUCAAUGAAGGAAAAGAAAGAGUUUUACCUGAUAGGAUGGGUUCCUAAAUUCGCUGAGAAACAUGCUGACAAAGAGAGGGUGCGAGAACUAGACUGAACACGAAGGUCAGAUGAAACCCUGGAGAGCGUUUGAAAUGGAAAUAAAAAGACAAGGAGAAUACAACUCUCUGUGGAAAUCUGGAUAGGGUUUUGCAGAAAGGAUGAGGAAAAUGUAAGAAUGAAGGCAAAAUGUGAAAUGGAGAGAAGAGAUUAGUAAUCAAUAGCUUCAGUGGAAGAGCUCUCCUUGGAAAUCUGGAAGAGUCAUGAAGAAGAAACGACAGACGAUUAGAUGGGACGGGCAACAGAUUGCUUUUUCUGAUUGGGCAAUGAAACGGUGGUUUUUUAAUUAGGUUUUAGAAUAUACUAUUAUGUUUUAGGAG
Molecule: long non-coding RNA, 5723 nt
Filed under: Gossypium barbadense (sea-island cotton)
Lineage: Eukaryota; Viridiplantae; Streptophyta; Magnoliopsida; Malvales; Malvaceae
Description: long non-coding RNA (GBAR_LNC001951)
Source: RNAcentral